CCUACGGGAGGCAGCAGUGAGGAAUAUUGGUCAAUGGCCGUAAGGCUGAACCAGCCAAGUCGCGUGAAGGAAGAAGGAUCUAUGGUUUGUAAACUUCUUUUAUAGGGGAAUAAAGGUAUCCACGUGUGGAUAUUUGCAUGUACCCUAUGAAUAAGCAUCGGCUAACUCCGUGCCAGCAGCCGCGGUAAUACGGAGGAUGCGAGCGUUAUCCGGAUUUAUUGGGUUUAAAGGGUGCGUAGGUUGUUUGUUAAGUCAGAGGUGAAAGUUUGUGGCUCAACCAUAGAAUUGCCGUUGAAACUGGAAGACUUGAGUGUAGUUGAGGUAGGCGGAAUGCGUGGUGUAGCGGUGAAAUGCAUAGAUAUCACGCAGAACUCCGAUUGCGAAGGCAGCUUACUAAGCCAUAACUGACGCUGAGGCACGAAAGCGUGGGGAGCAAACAGGAUUAGAUACCCCAGUAGUC
RNAcentral lists this ribosomal RNA (460 nucleotides) under uncultured bacterium. Its description in RNAcentral is "partial 16S ribosomal RNA". It matches the Rfam family "Bacterial small subunit ribosomal RNA", at positions 338 to 795 of the family's 1533-position model. The record is from RNAcentral.